ACCACGUGACCAGACCCGGGCGGGCUGGAGUCAACCACAGGCCGGCAGCCGUAUCUGGUGGCUCUCCUCCUCCUCCUCCUCCAUAGUGAUCAGCAGAAUCCAAGCAGUGAAACCCAGAAGACUGGGAUGGGGAGUGAAAUCCAGAGCAAACCCAGAAUCCUCUGCCUCCACGGAUUCAGAACGAGCGGUGAAAUCUUCAAGAAACAGGUCGGAAAGUGGCCGGAGAGCGUUCUCGGACGGUUGGACCUCGUCUUCCUCGACGGGGCUUAUCCGGCCGCCGGCGAAUCCGAUGUUGAAGGCUACUAUGAUCCUCCCUACUACGAAUGGUUCCAGUACAGCAAGGAUUUUGGAGAAUACUACAACUUUGAUGGAUGUAUUGCCUACAUAGAAGAUUAUAUGGUAAAACAUGGCCCUUUUGAUGGUCUAAUGGGGUUUUCCCAGGGGGCAAGUAUUUGUGCAGCAUUGCCUGGAAUGCAAUUGGAUGGGGUGGCACUCACCAAGGUUCCCAAGAUCAAGUUUGUGAUUGUAAUUUCAGGGGGAAAGUUUGGAGGAUCAGAAAGGGUUUUGGGGAGCAAAUAUGAUGGAUUGAAGUUUGGGCUGCCAAAGCUGGCUGCUAAUGCAUUCUCAUCGCCAGUCAAGUGCCCUUCCCUUCACUUUAUAGGUGAGACAGAUUUCUUGAGGGCAACCGGGAGGGAAUUAGCAGAAUCAUUUGAGGAGCCAAUUUUUCUUCAUCAUCCCAAGGGCCACACAAUUCCAAGACUUGAUGAGAGAGGCUUGAAGACGAUGCACAGCUUCAUUGACAGGAUUGAGACUAUAGAAAAGUAGAGGAACUGCUCAAAUUAAGCCCAGAAUUGCUGUGCAUUAGCAUCUUCACACGCGAUUCGUCAACUGACGAGAAGAGCAUGCAGAUGAUGCUCGGCUUCAUCCAGAAGAUUGAAAAGAUGCAAUUGCACGGGGAAUAGAAUGGCAUGGCAGAUGUGCUUGGAUGCAGAUUGAGUGAGUGAGUGAUGGAUUGUAAUUUGUAAGUCCCUGUCUGCAAGCCGGGACACAUUUGGGAGAAAAGAAAAUGGUUGAACAGAAAGCAUGGAUGCUGCUAUAUCACCCAGUGAUGUUUUCUGUUUCACCAUCUUCAGUUUUUAUGAUUUCAUUUUACAAAAAAUUAAAAAAAAAUAAAACAUAAUUCAUUUCUAUUAAAUAUGAAA
This is an RNA transcript of Diospyros lotus (date-plum), 1202 nucleotides long. RefSeq lists it as uncharacterized. The transcript is spliced from 6 exons. The record is from RefSeq and is a predicted model, not a curated record. NCBI's taxonomy places the organism in Eukaryota, Viridiplantae, Streptophyta, Magnoliopsida, Ericales, Ebenaceae.